UCGCCUGAAAUUACAAAUUGCAUCGAUCCGAUCGAAUUGGAACAUCGACGUUCAAUUUCACGGAUAUAAAAUCGGAUUGAAUCUAGGAAAAUACCUGUGGUAUCAGGGUCAGACCUACUGUCAAUCCCGCAACCAGGUCACCCAAUGCGUCCUUCGUUUUGUACAGCGUUUCAGCACAUCGUGUCAACUUGAAAUUCUGAAAAUAUAACACGAUCCAAUGACGAAGAUCUGAACGAAGGAAGAAGUUCGAUUUCGAGUUUCAAUUGGCAGAUCGUCAUAAUUCAUCGGCCUGUCUUCUUAAUAUGCGAGCUGCAUCGCCUCAUUAACUGGCAUCGCAAUCGUCGUUUCAAUGUCUCGCCGAUGAAACAACAAGCGGGCAAUUAACGAAUUUUCGAGCGACAAUUAGUAAGUGAUUUUACGCGCGAGAACACGAUUUAACGUCACUAACUGAGCGGUGGUCACGUGUGAUCGUUUAAGCACGUGAUUUUCCAGUUUUCCUCGUCGACAGUUACCGCGGAAAUCGUUAAUAUCUCACUGUACCGUUCAUUAUAACAGUUUUCAAAUUCCAGUUUCACUUUCAUCUGUCACGAAGAAAGUUAUCGCAAGGUAUAACCGCGAUGAACCAGUUUGUGCACCAAAGCAAGUGAGGAUCCGAUGAUCUCGAAGGAAUCACGAUGAAGAAAUGAAGAAAUGUCGGUGGACGAAAUGUUUGUUGGACGAAAGAAGAUUAACGAUUGAUGCGGUACCUCGUACCUGCUCUAUACACUGAUUAAAUCUACAGCUGUUUCACACGUGCCUUGUUCCCCCACUUUGAAAUGUCAGGAUGCGAACGCAUGCGUCAAUCCUUCCCUAAAUGAAUACUGGGUUCGGCAAAAUUAUCGUUAAUUAACCGAACAACGAACGAAUCUUUUUUUCAACCGACCCGUAUACAAAUUUUUAACAUUUUUAUUGUUGAUUCUAUUCAUUCAUUUAACGUUUUUAUCUUAUACCUUGACCUACACAUUUCUCGCAUCCUGUCUUUUCAUAUUUCAUAUCAUUACGUUCAUUAUUAUUUCGUUCUUUAACUAAUUAGUAAAAUUGUAGGGAACAUGUUGCAAUUUUUGUUUAUUUCUUUUAUUAAUUAUAUUUCGUUUGAUAAUAGAUACGAACGAAUCGAGCAACAAGUUGCUACCAUUAUAUUGCAUACUUUUUUGGGAUUAAAUAUGAUCAACAAUGUAAUCUUACAAUUUUGCAUAUGUGAUAUUAUUCAAUAGAUUUUAAAUUUUCUAAACACGUAUUAACAUAAAAUAAUCAUAUAAUUUUUCAUCGUUAGGAAUUCUAUUCUUUGCAUUUUAAAUGAAAUAAAAAUUCAUGCGUGAUCUUGUAUUUUUUAAUUUAAUUAACUUAUUAUUAAAAACAUAAGAUUUAGAUUGAAAUGAUAUCAGCAGUUAAAUAGUAGAUAACAAUUUUGCACGACGAUGAUUUCACACUGCGUCAAAUCUCAUCUCGUAUCAUUUCGCACUAUGUUAAUUUCAUCUGUAUCAUUAGAUGUAAAGUCUCAAAAAGAUUGCAUCGUUGACCUGCAUCAAUUUUUAAUUUUAAAAUAAGAAAAAUUUGCAGGAACGAUAAAAGUGAUUAUGACACUUGGCGUGACUACUUGCCUCUGCAAUUACGCUCGUAACGUAACGCGCCAAUAAUGAAUAAAUGUUUAUGAAAAGUGUAUCGGUGUGGAUUUUACACAGAAACAAAAGCAACGUGUUGGUAGAAACAACUCACCACGGAUGCUCGAUUGUUCCAGAACGGGAUUCCUUUCGUGGAUUAUCGUGGAAUGUGUCAAUUGCUUCGACGACGGAUACGUUCCGCUACACUUUUCUUUCUCAUUCGAAUCCUUUUUAACGGUGAACUUCUUGUUCCAAGAGAAUGGUUGAAAUUCUUAUCGUCGUAUGCCGAACAUCGUGUACAUGACUGUAAUUACAAGGACGUCGCGUGGUCUUGAACGACUAUGUGUUUUGCAUGUUAACGGAGCAAGCGUAACGAUGAAUCCGUGAAAGUAAACCAGAAAUUAUUGUUUGAUGAAAAUUUGCCAUGAAAUUUUUUUAAUUUUCAAUCCAAGAACUCGAUGGUGUAGUAGAAAAAUAUGGUUGAAAAGUUGAAAACGUUAGAAAAGGAUGUAAAGACUAUGAAAAAAAUUGCAAUCGUGUUAGUUUUAUCCGCAGUAAUGAAUAUUAAAGAAUAGCGGAAUAUGUAAAACGCGGCGUAAUUAUUUGUUUAAAUACAAGUGUUCAAACAUCGCGAACAAGAUCAUUUUUCACGGAAGACAAUAAAUUUAUUCUCAAAUUGACGUUUUAUCGAAAAGAGAGAAAAAUGAUUGAUGGACACAUUCGCGACUAGAUGUACAUCUAAUACUAAAAAUAAAAAUUGUGUCUCACUAGUUUUUAGUUAGUUUAGUUAAAUUCGACAUGUUUAACUAUAAACUUUCAAUAUCGUUCUAUUGCUAAUUGUCUUAUUUUUAAAAACAAUUUUCGAAACGAAAGUGUAUAUCUCUAAAAUGAUCGAUAAAAGUUUAAACCAGCAUUUUUAAAAAUAUCACAAUAUAUAUACGUUAUUUACUUACACGAUGACUAAUAAUUGAAAUUUGAGUAUAAUAUUAACUCUUGAGAGAAUUGCAAAUAAAAUGGUUUGUGAUUAUUUUUACACCUAUAUAAAGAAAAUGUAAAUCAUAAUUUAUUAUAUUUGAUUAGUUUAAUAUUAUUUUUAUAUUUUUAGAAAACACUUUUUCUAAAUUUUUCUACUAUUUUACAUUAUCACUUAGUAAUGCGAUAUAUUAUUCAUCGUUUUGAUUGAUUAGAUGCGAAAAUUUUCAGUUUCUAUGUCUCGUUAAUUUUCUAGUGUCACUGUUUCGUUUGAUUUAGACUUAUACGUGUCUACUUGUUUGCUCAUUGCCUUAGACUAUGUUUGUGUUUCUCCUUAUUUACAAAAAUAAUUAGGCGUUUUAAAAAUACUUAUCAUUCAUAGAUUAAACAUGCAAAUAGAAAUUGAACCAAUCGUCCUAAAGAUAUAAGUAGUUUAAUUAGUAAUGUUUCAAUAAUCUUUUACUUCAGUAUGAUUCAGUUAAUAUUAUAAAAUAAAGUACUAGUAAAGAUAAUCAUCAGGUAUGAUCAGGUAAAAAAAUUCAAGAAAUGAUUGGAGAAUUUUAAUAAGUCAUUUAAGCUUAAUCAAUAAAAGAGCUAUUCUCAGAAAUAAUAGAGAAACUCAUUUGAAAUCAAUUAGCGAAUGAAAAACAUAGAAUUAUCUAAAAUAACGAAUAAUUAUUUUUAUUCCUUAUUUCAUUUUCACUUGUAUGAAAAUAUUUUUGACAACGAUAUGUUUAUUGAGAUUUAUUGAUACUACAAUACUGAAUUUAAAAAAUGGUUUAAUCCAGGAUCAAAUGGAAAAUUUUCUGAAGAAUUUGAUUAUCUACAAUUUGCCUCUUUCAACUUGCUAAAAUGAUUCUAGACGAUCAAUGUGAAUUUCGCUAAGUAAAAUUAUAAUUUUCGAACAUAGUUGUCAAAAAAAAAAUUGUUUGCAAAAUUUACAAUGGAAUUUUCAUAUAAUUUAUUUUUAAUUUUAAAAAAUAAUAUGUAGUUCAAUAUUCAAAAUUGUUCGAUAAAAGAGCGAUAUUACAAUAUACUUCAACAAUUCCGUAUUUAUUUUAUUUUACUUUGAAGUAUUGUAAAAAAUGAUGUUUUGCUCAUAUAUAGACGAUUGAAAGUUGCAAUACCAGUAUUGUAUUAAGCAAUAUUUUAUAUGUUAAUUCCGAUUUGAUGAUAUUUGAUUUCAGAUGUUACGUUAUUAGAUAACCGACGACUUUCAGUUAGUAAAAGUUUCUAAUUAAGAAUUAAUAAAAUUUUACAUUAAAAAAUA
Long non-coding RNA from Apis cerana (Asiatic honeybee), 3882 nucleotides. RefSeq lists it as uncharacterized. The record is from RefSeq and is a predicted model, not a curated record. NCBI's taxonomy places the organism in Eukaryota, Metazoa, Arthropoda, Insecta, Hymenoptera, Apidae.